UAAUACGGAGGGUGCAAGCGCUUGUUCGGACAUUAUUGGGCGUAAAGCGCGUGUAGGCGGUCUUUUAAGUCUGAUGUGACAAGCCCCGGGCUCAACCUGGGAAGUGCAUUGGAAACUGGGAGGCUUGAGUACGGGAGAGGAGAGUGGAAUUCCUAUGUGUAGGAGUGACAAUCCGUAGAUAUUAGGAGGAACACCGGUGGCGAAGGCGGCUCUCUGGACCGAUAACUGACGCUGACACGCGAAAGCGUGGGUAGCGAAACAGGAUUAGAUACCCUGGUAGUCCACGCCGUAAACGAUGAGUACUAGGUGUUGCGGGUAUUGACCCCUGCAGUGCCGUAGCUCAACGCAUUAAGUAUCUCCGCGCUGGG
RNAcentral lists this ribosomal RNA (368 nucleotides) under uncultured delta proteobacterium. RNAcentral describes it as "bacterial SSU rRNA". It matches the Rfam family "Bacterial small subunit ribosomal RNA", at positions 521 to 877 of the family's 1533-position model. Lineage: Bacteria; Deltaproteobacteria. The record is from RNAcentral.